This 1557-nucleotide long non-coding RNA is filed under the name Arabidopsis thaliana (thale cress). RNAcentral's name for it is "long non-coding RNA (ATHA_LNC000697)". The record is from RNAcentral. Lineage: Eukaryota; Viridiplantae; Streptophyta; Magnoliopsida; Brassicales; Brassicaceae.
AGCUAUCUUGACUUGUUUACUAAAACAAUUCUUAAGACUUAUAUAUAAUUCCAUGGUUAUCUUUACUGGCUUCAUGCAAGGAUUAUGGAAUAAUCAAAACAGCUGCUUAUUGAAUGAGGUUGGUUAAAUUAAAUUACGAAAAUAUGACACAUCAUUAUAAAAGUCUAAGAGCUCAUUUGUUUCAAAUUUGGAAAACCAUAUACAUCAUCUAUAUUCAACAUCCUAUAUAUUGUUUAAAACUUUAAACUCGUUCUUUUUUUUCAAUUUUUUAUUUUUUAUAAUUCGGAUGAUUUGGUUCAACAGAUUUUAUGAUCUCUGAACCAGAGCACGAAGAUUUCUUUUUCUAGCUGGUUCUUGGGUCAAUGGACCAUGAGAACUGACUAAUCCCAGGACGAGGGGAAGCCAUGUGAAAACCUCUAACACUCACACAUUUGUGGAGUAGUUUUUAGGGUAGAUCAAACUUUGGAUAGCUCAUUACAACUUUUUUUAGUCUGAUCACUACCACUAGACCAAGCUUGUGUGGGCAAAAAGACUUCGUUCUCAAGGGCGGACCUAGUAAAGAAGAAGGGGGUCACUUGACCCAAGUUGAAUAGUCAAAUUUUAUUUUUUGCAUAGAAUUUUGUUUAGAAUUAGCAGAACAAUUGGUAAAUUCCAAGGUGUUGACACCCCCAAAACAUGAGUUCAAAUCUCUAUAAUGACACUUUUACUCUUUUCUCCUCAAUUUAGUUUUAAAUAAAUGUUUUUUUUGUCUUAUAUAUUUCUUUACUUUUUCCAAAAUAACAGCAAUUAAUAUACUAUUUUUAUUUCCUUAUGAAAUUGAUUUUAUUUUUGUGAGUUUGUAUAAAUAUUAUAAGAAAGUUAGUUAUAAAAUACUGUUUAUAAAUUUUUUUUGACCCCGGUAAAAUUUAUUUAUGGGUCCGCUACUGCUCGUUCUUGCCUAUAAAUGUAAAUUUUGUUUCUAUUUGAGUAUGCAGAAAAAUACAAGUACUAUAUAUAUAAAACACUCGUUUUUUAAGUCAUGUAAAUUAUCAUUAAUGAAUGAAGGAAUUUGUAAGUUACCAAAAAAUUGCUUAACCAGCGAAGGGGAUAAACCUUGCCAAAAAAGAAUAAAGAACAAGGAUAUAUUUUGCAUGUCAGAGAUUAGGUAUUACCGUAUUAGCAAGCCAAAGCUGCAUUAGGGAAAUCCCAAUAAGGUUUUUACGUUCAUGAUUUCUUGCACGACUAUGAUCUCGUCAAUAUGGAAUUAUACAACGUCUGCUAUUUGAAUAUGGCUGCCUUAGGCUCUCUCAAAUCUUAUCUAUACUGCAUAUUCGAUUGGACGAAAUGGAACUAUGAUUAUUUGCCAAUUUUGUCCAUACAUCAAUAUUUUCAAAGUAUUCCCUGGAAUUGUUUCUUAUUGGUGUUAAGAUUUUGUCAUUGUUGAAGUACUUUUGAUGUUAUUUUUAUACGUAAUUAAUUUAAAUGAAGUGAAAAACAAGAAAUGAAACUUUUUUGUUUUUAUUCAAUUGUUUCUUUUGUUAGUUUUUCUAUUUCUAAAAUCUUAUUUUUCAUACUUUG